AUGCAGGACAGAUCUGAGCUCCACUGCCUCCAUUGCUCCCUUUCCCCCGACCAGAUCUGCCUCUUGCAUUCUGGCACCUCGCCGGCGUGGCUCCAGCGUUGCUCCGGCGACUCAGAUCCAACACGCCGUCGUUGCUUGAGCACCGGGACGCCAUCGACGGGACGUCUUCCUCCUCCCCUGUCCCGAAGUCAUGAACGAUGCAGCUUCACUGCUACCCUGACGCCAUCAAGGUCAGACCCCCAAUCAUCUCCUCCCCUUUUCAUUUUCUUCUUCCAAAUCCCUAAGCAGCUGUUGGCAGGCCGGAGAUGA
Molecule: ribosomal RNA, 309 nt
Filed under: Triticum aestivum (bread wheat)
Lineage: Eukaryota; Viridiplantae; Streptophyta; Magnoliopsida; Poales; Poaceae
Description: partial small subunit ribosomal RNA
Source: RNAcentral